Molecule: long non-coding RNA, 314 nt
Filed under: Rattus norvegicus (Norway rat)
Lineage: Eukaryota; Metazoa; Chordata; Mammalia; Rodentia; Muridae
Description: long non-coding RNA NONRATT031116
Source: RNAcentral
CAGCUAUACCUCUCUUGGGCAUAUACCCAAAAGAUGCCCCAACAUAUAAAAAAGACACGUGCUCCACUAUGUUCAUUGCAGCCUUAUUUAUAAUAGCCAGAAGCUGGAAAGAACCCAGAUGCCCUUCAACAGAGGAAUGGAUACAGAAAAUGUGGUACAUCUACACAAUGGAAUAUUACUCAGCUAUCAAAAACAAUGACUUUAUGAAAUUCGUAGGCAAAUGGUUGGAACUGGAAAAUAUCAUCCUGAGUGAGCUAACCCAAUCACAGAAAGACAUACAUGGUAUGCACUCAUUGAUAAGUGGCUAUUAGCCC